UCUCUCCACAUUACGUCUCCAGUUGUAUCCAAACUCUGAGCCAAGCAGGGCAGGAGACCCAGGGAUGCCCUCCAGCCUCAAGGCAAGCGCUCAGCACUGGACGCAGCUCAGGGACCGCAGAAUAUUCCAACAGUUCCACUUUUCAGUAGGGAUCACAUUAAAAACAAGGAACUCAAAUGAGAAAUCAUAUUGUCCGGGGCUCCUGUACUUGAAGACUUUCAGAAGUCACGCAGAAGGAAGAUGCCUUAGAAAGUGUGCAGGUCCAUAUUAAAAAUUUCCUUUUGUGGUCACUUUUGUGUCUUGCAAACUCAUCUCCUCUGCUGCAUUAGACACAACACCUCCAUGACCAUUGGAGACCAGCGGAGCUUUCUCAUCACCUGAUCCAGCAUAAAACCUCUACAUUCUUCAGUCAGCAUUGAGCCUUGGGAGCCCUGUUGGCUUGUUUCUGUGGGCACACUGGGAUGCACAGGGGAUUCUGCAGAUACAGGAUCUGGAUAUGGCAGAACACUUUGAAAGGCAACCUCGCAAAUUUUUUUUUGGUUUGGUUUUAUACAAAACCGUCUGUGUUUUUAUAUAUAUAGGUCAGAAAAGCAAGCCUAUCCUCACCAGCCAGCACUCAGAUUCCAGAAGCAUUGCUAAAGGAUCAGUAUCAGCCUAUGAGAGGCAUAUAUCAGCUCAGGCACCUUUAAAUACAUGAAUAGUCUCAACUUCAACAUUCCUUUGAUGCACUAAACUCUGGCAGCUAAUUGGGAAAAACCUCUGUCCAAUGUUUGGAGGUGUUUCAAGACUUCCAGGAGUGAAACCUAAGGAGACUUAAGAGUCUUAAAAUGACAUUGUGACUUCUGAAAGUGUCACAGUCAUACUGGGAAAUAACAGUACAAAUUUAGUGGAAAAGAUAGCUCCACAUCACUUUCUGUGGUGUACAAAAACUGCCCUCAGAACCCUGUACCUGCACACCACCAAUUCUUGCCAUUUGCUGAACCUGUCAUUCAGAUAUGGGUCUGUGCUGCUCCAGUGGAGAUCAGGUUUUUGGUCUUCUGUCCACAGGUACAUACAGCUUGAAAGACAACCAUGGAAUGCAAAUCUACUGCCAACAGGCUGAAAUCCACUGUGCAAGGAUUAGCAUCUCAGCUGGAGGUCAUCAGCAUGUACUUUGCUACCUAUAAUCAAGUGCCUUCAUAGCUUCACAAAGGCAUUGUAUUGGAGAAAAUCUGGAUGAAACCUUGGCUCUGCUAAAGUCAACGAGAGCUUGAACUGUGAUUUUCUAGGUCUUUAUCCGCAGUACUGCUUCAUUUUUUGAAGGUCAUCUGAAAGGGCUGGGUAGUUUUAUGCUUACAUGGUAACAUGAAAAGAAUGUCAAGGCUGAAAAGCUUAAUGAUCGUUUAUUUAGAGGCACUAUUCAAGCUGAAUAAAAGUCGGUAUUUAGAGAUAUAAGAGGAUGAAUUAAUUUCUUGAAAAUGAUAGCAUUACUGUAGUAUCAGAAAAAGUGUAUUUUGUAAUAGUUUUUUCAGAAAAUGUCUGUUCUGGGACAGAAAGAAAAUUUAUUUGUUCUUAAGCUUUCACAUAUUUUAUAUUAUAAAACUGCUCUCUGUAUUAAUUUUCUUGCAAUUACAUUUAGCAGCUCCUCUUUUUUUUGAAUCAUUCACAAUAAACCCUGUCAAUAUUCUUCAUAUUUUCACUGAACAUAAGGACACAGUUAAAGCCUUUUUGCUGUCUGUGGCUGAGUAAAUCGUAUUUUUAAUGCCCCUUUCUUGGUGACUGUUGUCCUAUUAUACAAAAGGAUUGUGAGCUAAGAUUUAUCAUCCCAGGCAUUGUCUUUGCAGAGCAAAUGGAAAUUACUGAGUUUCCUGACAUUCAGGAGGGACUGCAGAGAUAUGUAUGCAUGUAUGACCUACUUCUGUAUGUACAACCCGCAUUUAAGGAGAGGAGACAUACAAGUUGCCAGAUCUGGUGAAGCUGUGGAAAGGGUACAGCCAGAGUCAGACUGGAAGUCCUGAGUCCUCAGACUUUUUGUAACAGCUAGAAUAUAACCUGUCCCAUUGCCAUGGGACUGUAUGUCUCUGGAUAGAUGUAACAAUUUAAAAUAAUUCCAUAAAGUGUCUAAAGACCGUGUUCACCUCAAGUUAAGCACAGACGGUUGGAGACUCCCUUUGGUGGGAGAACUCUGUGUCUGUGCCAUUGGAGGGUACUGCCCUCAUGGCAUUGCACAUUUUGCUGAAAUACAGCUCCUGAGUUGAUUUAGCUGAGUGUUGUAUAUAAAAAGACACGUGAUUUUGGCUUAGCUUGCUAGCUGCAAGAACAGUGUCACCAACCAUAACAAAUGAACAGUCUCACCCAGCUUAAAGAUGCCACUGUAUUUUCUCUCCGUUGCUGUUGAGGACAGAAGGAAAAUAGGAAGGCCUGAAGUCCGAAAAGGCACAGAGGCAGCAAGAAGAAUAAGUCUCUAGAGGUAAAUGAGCAGUGUAAAUUACACCUUUUCAGUUUAUUAAGUACUAAUUAAGGGUUGCAAGCCUGGCAUUCUUUUACCAGAUGUAUGGUGCCAGGAAAGCAGCCACCCGUGUGUUCAGAGGUCGAUUGCUAUCCUGUGAUUAUAGAGGAUCCAAGCGUGGCUUUUUCUUUUUUGGGUACUGCUGCCAUUUGACUAAUAUAUCCCCAGCAUGCCUGGCUGCAGCGAUCCAUUAUUCACAGGCAGUUAUUGUCCAAGAGGGCUGUGUGACUGCUUCAGGGAGCUCAUGUGAUGCCCAGGCAGCCUGCCCAUGCACUGGGAGCCUCCUGAAGGUCUGACUGACCUCAGGAGAUGGAUAAAGGUUCCCUGACCAUCCCCCAGAAGCAGUGAGAAUAAGCUGAUGCCUGGUAUAUUUAGGCAGGAUAUUCCUAACUCUGAAUGGAGCCAUCACUACUGAAUGUACUAUAAAUAUUCAUGUAGCUCCAGGUAAAAAAUACAUGUUCCCCGAAACCCUCCUCUGUGAGGAAUGUUUCAUUUGCAGCAGGUUUGUUCUGGUUUUCUUUUACAGAGAGGCAACAAACUACAGAACUUUUGCAACAUGGCUAACAUCAAGUCUGCUAUUGCUAUCAAAGCCAGGCAGAGGGUGAAGGAAGGGACCAUAAAAGGAUGACAAGGUAGCUCUGGAGGUGGUUACAGGGAGCAUCCUGCAAGCAGGAAAAUGCACAUGAAGGACCUGGUUUGAAAAUUAGUGACAAAGGUUAAGAUGAAACAGAAUCCCCUUCCGAUACAUAAGGAGAAAAGAAAGUUUGUCAAGGGAUGGGAACAGUAGAGAUAGGGAAGUGGAAUAAACACUGGGGAGCUGCACCAGUGAGGACAAGCAUCCUGUGCUGCAGAAGAGGGAGGAAAGGGAGGUGCUGUUGAGGAGGCCAGCAAGAAGAGCAAACCCUGCAGCCCUGCUCUGCCAAGGCCAAACAGAAGCAUGCUAUGAAACCUUCGUUUUGAGAUAAUGAGAACCCAAACAGGACUUUUGUCUAAGAGUCCAGCUUAGCUGUCUGGAGCUAAUUUAAUCAUGCACUAAAGUGUUUUUCUCCCACAUUCCAGCCAGAAGCAAGCAACAGUAACUUAGCCAAAGACUGAGUGGCAGUGAAGCCAAUGUGAGAUCAAGGGUGGCUAGUUGGGUCAUGCACCAUAUGAUCUGCAAGCUUCAAACAAGAAGCUGACUUACUCUUGGCUGUUCUCACCAUGCCUUUCUUUGUGCAGUCACUUUGUGUUGCUCUACAAAGGCAGCUUGUCUAAGCUGUAUUUUACCCAUACUCUGUGAAUGUUUACAAUGAGCUUCUCCCAGACAGGAAAAGAAGCAUGAGGGAUGUUCCUGCUAAAUCUCAUACCAGCUAAACCCCAGAUAUCUGAACAUCUUCAGCAUAAUUCCAAAUAAUCCACUUGACUGAACUACAGAUAAAUAGAAGAAAGGUUAGGCAAGAUUACUGGUUAUCUUUCAAUGUUUUAAAUGUUUUGCUUUCCCUCCUUCAAGUUACAUUAACAAAUGCUAAAAUUAUUCCUUCUUUCACGACUUAAGGCAGCUGUGGUAUGACAGGUUUUUCAGUUUACUGACAAAACUGUUCAAAUGAGUACAGGCACCCCCCCUCCCCCCGUUCAUUUUAAAGAUGUUUCAAACUGUUUUUCCUUUCUUACAAAGCUGAAAGCAUUGGGGAAAAAAGUUUGAGGACAGAUGAAAUUGGGUUUUAGUUUUAUGCUUGUGUACUAAUAAGAGAAGAAUGGUUAGGCUAAAAAGCUUAACAACAAAUAAUUAUUUAGGAUAAUUAUUUAGCCAAAAUAUAAGAUAGUGUUUAGAGAUAAAAGAAGAUAGAAGUUUUCAGAAAAUGUAUGUUCUGGGAAAGUAAGACUGGGAAAUGCAAAACCUCAGUGUGCACUUCCCUUAACAGUUGAACAGCAAAAAUACAUCUCAGGACAUUGCAGACCCCAAGGUAGCACCUGCAUACCCCUAUUUGGCUUCAUAAUUAACCAGGUGUUAGUGGUAGAUACCAGCAUAAAGCUGUUCUUUGGGUUGACUACAUGUAAGCUGUUGUGUGUAAACAGUAUUGUGUGGCACAAACAGGAGAAAGUGUAAUUUCAGAGCAAUCCCUCCCCAGGUGGCAUUCCUUGAUAUUGCAACCGCUUUGCUUAAUUAUGCAAAUGCUACUGAGAGUAUUAAAGGAAAAAGCUGGAAUCUCUAAUUGUGUGCAUAGACAUCCUUGUCUAUAUCCUGGAUACACGGAACUGUUAAACUGUAAUGCUUUUAAGACUAUUUGUUGUAGCAAUUAUUUUGUGCUAACUGUAUUCUGCACAAAGGAGUUAUUGAGUCUUUCUAUUUUGGAAGAGACUCCUCUAUUUUUGGCAAACGCAGUUUGAACUAUAAAAUAAUUAGUCAAUAGAUAUGUGUUUUACUCUAAUCAGGCAACGAUUUCUGCUAAAAUGUG
Long non-coding RNA from Corvus hawaiiensis (hawaiian crow), 4923 nucleotides. RefSeq lists it as uncharacterized. The record is from RefSeq and is a predicted model, not a curated record. The transcript has 3 exons. NCBI's taxonomy places the organism in Eukaryota, Metazoa, Chordata, Aves, Passeriformes, Corvidae.